This 811-nucleotide ribosomal RNA is filed under the name uncultured bacterium. RNAcentral's name for it is "bacterial SSU rRNA". It matches the Rfam family "Bacterial small subunit ribosomal RNA", at positions 58 to 916 of the family's 1533-position model. The record is from RNAcentral.
CAAGUCGAACGAACCCUUCGGGGUUAGUGGCGGACGGGUGAGUAACACGUGGGAACGUGCCCUUUGGUACGGAAUAACUCAGGGAAACUUGAGCUAAUACCGUAUGUGCCCUUCGGGGGAAAGAUUUAUCGCCAUUGGAGCGGCCCGCGUCUGAUUAGCUAGUUGGUGAGGUAAUGGCUCACCAAGGCGACGAUCAGUAGCUGGUCUGAGAGGAUGACCAGUCACAUUGGGACUGAGACACGGCCCAAACUCCUACGGGAGGCAGCAGUGGGGAAUCUUGCGCAAUGGGCGAAAGCCUGACGCAGCCAUGCCGCGUGGAUGAUGAAGGUCUUAGGAUUGUAAAAUCCUUUCACCGGGGACGAUAAUGACGGUACCCGGAGAAGAAGCCCCGGCUAACUUCGUGCCAGCAGCCGCGGUAAUACGAAGGGGGCUAGCGUUGCUCGGAAUUACUGGGCGUAAAGGGCGCGUAGGCGGACAUUUAAGUCGGGGGUGAAAUCCCAGGGCUCAACCCUGGAACUGCCUUCGAUACUGGAUGUCUUGAGUGCGGGAGAGGUGUGUGGAACUCCGAGUGUAGAGGUGAAAUUCGUAGAUAUUCGGAAGAACACCAGUGGCGAAGGCGACACACUGGCCCGUUACUGACGCUGAGGCGCGAAAGCGUGGGGAGCAAACAGGAUUAGAUACCCUGGUAGUCCACGCCGUAAACGAUGAUUGCUAGUUGUCGGAGUGCAUGCACUUCGGUGACGCAGCUAACGCAUUAAGCAAUCCGCCUGGGGAGUACGGUCGCAAGAUUAAAACUCAAAGGAAUUGACGG